AGUUAAACAGUACGUGAAAUUGUUGAAAGGGAAACGAUUGAAGUCAGUCAUACCAACGGGAAAUCAACCUUUUGAGUUUGGUCUCGUGGGUUUUGAAGAGUUUUAAAAGCCUUCGGAUUUUCGAGAUUGGGUUCUUCUGGUGUACUUUCUCGUACGGUUAGUCAACAUCGGUUUUGAAUGUCAUAAAAUGACUGGAGGAAUGUGGCUUCGAUCUCGUAUUGAAGUGUUAUAGCCUUUGGUAGAUGUGAUGUUCGAGACCGAGGAUUGCAACGGAUACCCUUCUGGGCUAUUCGUCUGAUCUCUGAAACGUUGCCUUGAUGUCGAAAGCUUGCUUAUGAUGUUAGGGUAUUACGAUCAAAAGGUUAGAACGGAUUAAAUUCGUUAAGGAUGUUGACGUAAUGACUUUAAA
This 409-nucleotide unclassified non-coding RNA is filed under the name uncultured Funneliformis. Its description in RNAcentral is "sequence contains 28S rRNA gene". The record is from RNAcentral. Lineage: Eukaryota; Fungi; Glomeromycota; Glomeromycetes; Glomerales; Glomeraceae.